GCCUGGGUGGCUCAAUUGGUUGAGCGUCUGACUUCAGCUCAGGUCAUGAUCUCACAGUCUGUGAAUUCGAGCCCCGCAUCAGGCU
RNAcentral lists this transfer RNA (85 nucleotides) under Felis catus (domestic cat). It matches the Rfam family "tRNA". Rfam says of the family: Transfer RNA (tRNA) molecules are approximately 80 nucleotides in length. Their secondary structure includes four short double-helical elements and three loops (D, anti-codon, and T loops). Further hydrogen bonds mediate the characteristic L-shaped molecular structure. tRNAs have two regions of fundamental functional importance: the anti-codon, which is responsible for specific mRNA codon recognition, and the 3' end, to which the tRNAs corresponding amino acid is attached (by aminoacyl-tRNA synthetases). tRNAs cope with the degeneracy of the genetic code in two manners: having more than one tRNA (with a specific anti-codon) for a particular amino acid; and 'wobble' base-pairing, i.e. permitting non-standard base-pairing at the 3rd anti-codon position. Lineage: Eukaryota; Metazoa; Chordata; Mammalia; Carnivora; Felidae. The record is from Rfam by way of RNAcentral.